RNAcentral lists this ribosomal RNA (406 nucleotides) under uncultured bacterium. RNAcentral's name for it is "bacterial SSU rRNA". It matches the Rfam family "Bacterial small subunit ribosomal RNA", at positions 54 to 504 of the family's 1533-position model. The record is from RNAcentral.
CAUGCAAGUCGCACGGAAGCUUCGGCUUCAGUGGCGGACGGGUGAGUAACGCGUAGGUAUCUGUCCACGGGUGGGGGAUAACUCCGGGAAACUGGAGCUAAUACCGCAUAAUACCUGAGGGUCAAAGGCGCAAGUCGCCUGUGGAGGAGCCUGCGUUCGAUUAGCUUGUUGGUGGGGUAAUGGCCUACCAAGGCGAUGAUCGAUAGCUGGUCUGAGAGGAUGAUCAGCCACACUGGGACUGAGACACGGCCCAGACUCCUACGGGAGGCAGCAGUGGGGAAUAUUGGACAAUGGGGGCAACCCUGAUCCAGCAAUGCCGCGUGUGUGAAGAAGGUUUUCGGAUUGUAAAGCACUUUCGGCGGGGACGAUGAUGACGGUACCCGCAGAAGAAGCCCCGGCUAACUUC